Molecule: ribosomal RNA, 465 nt
Filed under: Vreelandella stevensii
Lineage: Bacteria; Pseudomonadati; Pseudomonadota; Gammaproteobacteria; Oceanospirillales; Halomonadaceae
Description: partial 16S ribosomal RNA
Rfam family: Bacterial small subunit ribosomal RNA
Source: RNAcentral
CCUACGGGAGGCAGCAGUGGGGAAUAUUGGACAAUGGGGGCAACCCUGAUCCAGCCAUGCCGCGUGUGUGAAGAAGGCCCUCGGGUUGUAAAGCACUUUCAGUGAGGAAGAACGCCUGGUGGUUAAUACCCAUCAGGAAAGACAUCACUCACAGAAGAAGCACCGGCUAACUCCGUGCCAGCAGCCGCGGUAAUACGGAGGGUGCGAGCGUUAAUCGGAAUUACUGGGCGUAAAGCGCGCGUAGGUGGCUUGAUAAGCCGGUUGUGAAAGCCCCGGGCUCAACCUGGGAACGGCAUCCGGAACUGUCAAGCUAGAGUGCAGGAGAGGAAGGUAGAAUUCCUAGUGUAGCGGUGAAAUGCGUAGAGAUCGGGAGGAAUACCAGUGGCGAAGGCGGCCUUCUGGACUGACACUGACACUGAGGUGCGAAAGCGUGGGUAGCAAACAGGAUUAGAUACCCCAGUAGUC